CUUCAAAAAGGUGUCAGAUAAGCUCAGGGACAAAGGCUGGCAGCAGAGGUGAGCCACAGCAGAGCACACAGAGCAAUGGGGCAAGAGACCCUGGCCUUCCGCUGGGCCAUGGCUGCCACCCUGCUGCUGCAGGUGGCUGCAGUGGAGCAUUCUCCAUGGACUUCCCACGGCAAGGCCAGGGUGUUCUCAGACCUGAGUGCUCAGGAGCUGAAGGCGGUGCACAGCUUCCUCUGGUCCAGGACAGAGCUAAGGCUGGAGUCCUCCAAGGCCUCCACCAUGGCCAAGAACACCGUGUUCCUCAUUGAGAUGCUGCUGCCCAAGAAGCGACAUGUGCUGAGAUUUCUGGAUGAAGGUGAAAGACGUCCUGUUCGGGAAGCCCGUGCAGUCAUCUUCUUCGGCGCCCAGGAGCAUCCCAACAUCACUGAGUUUGCUGUGGGGCCCCUGCCGCACCCCUACUACAUGCGGGUGCUGCCCCCCAGGCCUGGACACCAGCCCUCCUGGGCUUCCAGGCCCAUCUCCUCGGCAGAAUACACCCUCCUCUACCACACCCUGCAGGAAGCCACCAAGCCCCUGCAUCAGUUUUUCCUGGACACCACGGGCUUCUCACUCCAAGACUGCGGCGACAGAUGCCUCACUUUCACUGACGUGGCCCCCCGGGGUUUGGCUUCUGGCCAGCGCCGCAGCUGGUUAAUCAUACAGCGCUAUGUGGAAGGCUAUUUCUUGCACCCCAUGGGGCUGGAGCUCUUAGUGGACCACGCAAGCACCGAUGCCCGGAGCUGGGCGGUGGAGCAGGUGUGGUACAACGGGAAAUUCUACGCCAGCACCGAAGAGCUGGCUCGGAAGUACGCCGCGGGGGAGGUGGACGUGGUGGUCCUAGAAGACCUGUUGCCCCGAGGCAAGGGGCAGGAGAGCGGGGAGGAGCCGCCCCUCUUCUCCUCCCACAGGCCGCGAGGGGACUUCCCCAGUCCCAUGGAUGUGAGAGGUCCUCGCCUAGUCCAGCCCCACGGCCCCCGCUACAGGCUGCAGGGCCCUGCCGUGCUCUACGGGGGCUGGAGCUUCGCCUUCCGCCUGCGCUCAUCGUCCGGGCUGCAGGUCCUGAACGUGCACUUCGGCGGAGAGCGAGUCGCCUACGAGGUCAGUGUGCAGGAGGCGGUGGCGCUGUACGGCGGGCACACGCCUGCGGGCAUGCAGACCAAGUAUGUGGACGUGGGCUGGGGCCUGGGCAGCGUCACUCACGAGUUAGCCCCAGGCAUUGACUGCCCAGAGACCGCCACCUUCCUGGACGCCGUCCACUACUACGACACUGAUGACCCUGUGCACUAUCCCCGAGCCCUCUGCCUCUUUGAGAUGCCCACGGGGGUGCCCCUGCGGCGGCACUUUAAUUCCAACUUUAGAGGCGGCUUCAACUUCUAUGCUGGACUGAAGGGCCAGGUGCUGGUGCUACGGACGACCUCCACGGUCUACAAUUAUGAUUACAUUUGGGACAUCAUCUUCUAUCCCAAUGGAGUGAUGGAGGCCAAGAUGCACGCCACCGGCUAUGUCCAUGCCACCUUCUACACCCCUGAGGGGCUGCGCUACGGCACGCGCCUGCACACCCACCUGGUCGGGAACAUGCACACGCACCUCGUGCACUACCGCGUAGACCUGGACGUGGCAGGCACCAAGAACAGCUUCCAGACACUACAGAUGAAGCUAGAAAACAUCACCAACCCCUGGAGCCCAACACACCGCCUGGUCCAGCCGACUCUGCAACAGAUACAGUACCACCGGGAGCGCCAGGCGGCAUUCCGGUUCGGACGGACUCUGCCCAGGUACCUGCUCUUCACCAGCCCCAAGGAGAACCCUUGGGGCCACCAGCGCAGCUAUCGCCUGCAGAUCCACUCCAUGGCUGACCAAGUGCUGCCCCCAGGCUGGCAGGAGGAGCAGACUGUCACCUGGGCCAGGUGAGAGGACCCAGGGGGGCCAGCUCAGUGCUAAGAGCCACCAGGCUUCUCCUUUACCUGGCAGGUACCCCCUGGCCGUGACCAGGUACCGGGAGUCGGAGCGGUGCAGCAGCAGCAUCUACAACCAGAACGACCCCUGGGCCCCGCCUGUGGUCUUUGAGGAAUUUCUACACAAUAACGAGAACAUUGAAAACGAGGACCUGGUGGCUUGGGUGACUGUGGGCUUCCUGCACAUCCCCCAUUCUGAGGAUAUUCCCAACACAUCCACACCUGGAAACUCUGUGGGCUUUCUGCUCCGGCCCUUCAACUUCUUCCCAGAGGACCCGUCCCUGGCAUCCAGAGAUACUGUGAUCGUGUGGCCUCGGGACAAUGGCCCCAACUAUAUCCAGCGCUGGAUCCCUGAGGACAGAGACUGCUUGAUGCCUCCCCCUUUUACCUACAAUGGGACCUACAUGCCUGUGUGAAGGGGUCUGCCCCCAACUCCUACCUGGAAGCCAGAGAGUGUCCCAGGAAUGGACAAUAAACCUCUCAGAUCC
RNA transcript from Otolemur garnettii (small-eared galago), 2479 nucleotides. It is a transcript of the gene named amine oxidase, copper containing 1, with no coding region annotated. NCBI's taxonomy places the organism in Eukaryota, Metazoa, Chordata, Mammalia, Primates, Galagidae. The record is from RefSeq and is a predicted model, not a curated record. The transcript is spliced from 5 exons.